CAAAAUCUCAGGUUACUUUGCUAAAGAGUUCUCAGCCCUAUAGUUUCUGCCCUUGUCUCUGCCUCCAGCUCCUUAAGAGCCACCCAGCCCCAGCGAUUGGAUUGGGCAGCCCGUCUUGACACACCACUGUGCUGAGUGCUUGAGGACGUGUUUCAACAGAUGGUUGGGGUUAGUGUGUGUCAUCACACUCGAGUGGGGAUUAGGGGAGAGAGGCAGCCUCGCUGGAGCUGUGUGGUCUUCCCCAAGUGCGAGCCGCAAGCGAAAGAAGAACUACCUAGCUUUGGGGCAGAAGAGGGCGGAAUCCUUCCCAGCGGCUCAGAGGGAAAAACAAACCCCCACAGUUUGUUCAGAUCUUCACACUAACUCUCACAUACCUGUUGGGCUUAUGAAUUAUUGGUCUCCUACUUGUGAAAGAAAUCUAACACUGCCC
Molecule: long non-coding RNA, 430 nt
Filed under: Struthio camelus australis
Lineage: Eukaryota; Metazoa; Chordata; Aves; Struthioniformes; Struthionidae
Description: lncRNA (ENSSCUG00000002358.1)
Source: RNAcentral